GACGAACGCUGGCGGCGUGCUUAACACAUGCAAGUCGAACGGAAAGGCCCUGCUUUUGUGGGGUGCUAGAGUGGCGAACGGGUGAGUAACACGUGAGUAACCUGCCCUUGACUUUGGGAUAACUUCAGGAAACUGGGGCUAAUACCGGAAAGGAGCUCCUGCUGCAUGGUGGGGGUUGGAAAGUUUCGGCGGUUGGGGAUGGACUCGCGGCUUAUCAGCUUGUUGGUGGGGUAGUGGCUUACCAAGGCUUUGACGGGUAGCCGGCCUGAGAGGGUGACCGGCCACAUUGGGACUGAGAUACGGCCCAGACUCCUACGGGAGGCAGCAGUGGGGAAUAUUGCACAAUGGGCGGAAGCCUGAUGCAGCAACGCCGCGUGCGGGAUGACGGCCUUCGGGUUGUAAACCGCUUUCGCCUGUGACGAAGCGUGAGUGACGGUAAUGGGUAAAGAAGCACCGGCUAACUACGUG
This 468-nucleotide ribosomal RNA is filed under the name uncultured bacterium. Its description in RNAcentral is "partial 16S ribosomal RNA". It matches the Rfam family "Bacterial small subunit ribosomal RNA", at positions 28 to 507 of the family's 1533-position model. The record is from RNAcentral.